AAGAGGAGGAUGAAAAUACUUCUCCACUAACAUCUACUUGGAGGUGCAGUAAAUUGAGCAAAAUUACAGUGAAUCUACCACAGAAAGAAUCAAAAACGCAGUCUGGGGUUGAACUACAACCUACAAGUGCUGAAACAGCUUCAGUAGACGAAAAGGCUUCAGGUGAAGCAACAGCAAAGAAUGAUACUCCAGCCAAAGUAGGCCUUCCCAAUGACAAGAGUGAAAAUGCAAUGAUAGAAGGAAAUUUGUGAAGGGAAGGCUCACGUGGAAGCAUGCAAAAAUAUCCAUUUGGUGCUGUGAGAAAUGUUCAACAAAUGGAAGGAACCAAGGAUAUCAUAAUGCAUGAUUGUAUGUAAAAACAUAACCAGUCCACUGUUAUUGUAAUAGCAUGUGUUAUUAAAAAAUACCGUAUUAUUUAUUGUAAUGGUAAGAAGUUUUAACUACAUAUGUCUGUAAUAUACGUCCAUAAAGCAUGUAAUGCAACGUUACAUAAGACUUUCAGUGUGAUGUCAGUGUAUCACUUUCACUGAAUGCUCUACAUCAUCCUCGCUAAAAAAAAAAACUGGUACAAGUAGUUCAUACGUUGUAACUAAGCACUUGUUUUGAAUUUUAAAAUACAAGAUAUUUGUAAUGAAUAUAUUCUGUUUUUGAAGGGUGUUGGAAACAUGACCUUGAACCUAACAGUGAGGUCAACUUAUUACUGAAACUAGCUUAAUUACAACCAAAUGCAAAAUUUAAAGACAUUUACCCUACAUAUAUAUUACAUAGGUAGAUCAUCAUAGUAUAUACUAUAUUAUAUUAUUUACUAUCUACAUUGUUCCUAUUGCUGUAUCUAUUUUAAACAAGUUUUCAAACAGUAAUUUUCCUAGGGCAACAUCUAUAUUUUAUGCUCUCUGAUCUGGAUAAGUAAAUAUCAUUUAUAUUUUCUAUAGGACCACACAUCAUCUACACAUAAUGAGUGAAUAAAACACAUUUAUUUUUAUUCACUCCUGA
Molecule: long non-coding RNA, 993 nt
Organism: Priapulus caudatus
Lineage: Eukaryota; Metazoa; Priapulida; Priapulimorpha; Priapulimorphida; Priapulidae
Exons: 2
Source: RefSeq, a predicted model, not a curated record